UACGGGAGGCAGCAGUGGGGAAUAUUGCACAAUGGGCGCAAGCCUGAUGCAGCCAUGCCGCGUGUAUGAAGAAGGCCUUCGGGUUGUAAAGUACUUUCAGCGGGGAGGAAGGCGAUGCGGUUAAUAACCGCGUCGAUUGACGUUACCCGCAGAAGAAGCACCGGCUAACUCCGUGCCAGCAGCCGCGGUAAUACGGAGGGUGCAAGCGUUAAUCGGAAUUACUGGGCGUUAAAGCGCACGCAGGCGGUCUGUUAAGUCAGAUGUGAAAUCCCCGGGCUUAACCUGGGAACUGCAUUUUGAACUGGCAGGCUUGAGUCUUGUAGAGGGGGUAGAAUUCCAGGUGUAGCGGUGAAAUGCGUAGAGAUCUGGAGGAAUACCGGGUGGCGAAGGCGGCCCCUGGGACAAAGCUGACGCUCAGGUGCGAAAGCGUGGGGAGCAAACAGGGAUUAGAUACC
This 455-nucleotide ribosomal RNA is filed under the name uncultured bacterium. RNAcentral's name for it is "bacterial SSU rRNA". It matches the Rfam family "Bacterial small subunit ribosomal RNA", at positions 340 to 786 of the family's 1533-position model. The record is from RNAcentral.